GACGAACGCUGGCGGCGUGCCUAAUACAUGCAAGUCGAGCGGACGUUUUUGAAGCUUGCUUCAAAAACGUUAGCGGCGGACGGGUGAGUAACACGUGGGCAACCUACCUUAUCGACUGGGAUAACUCCGGGAAACCGGGGCUAAUACCGGAUAACAUCUAGCACCUCCUGGUGCCGGAUUAAAAGAGGGCUUCUUGCUCUCACGAUGAGAUGGGCCCGCGGCGCAUUAGCUAGUUGGAGAGGUAACGGCUCCCCAAGGCGACGAUGCGUAGCCGACCUGAGAGGGUGAUCGGCCACACUGGGACUGAGACACGGCCCAGACUCCUACGGGAGGCAGCAGUAGGGAAUCUUCCGCAAUGGACGAAAGUCUGACGGAGCAACGCCGCGUGAGUGAUGAAGGGUUUCGGCUCGUAAAGCUCUGUUAUGAGGGAAGAACACGUACCGUUCGAAUAGGGCGGUACCUUGACGGUACCUCAUCAGAAAGCCACGGCUAACUACGUGCCAGCCGCCGCCGUAAU
This 517-nucleotide ribosomal RNA is filed under the name uncultured bacterium. RNAcentral's name for it is "bacterial SSU rRNA". It matches the Rfam family "Bacterial small subunit ribosomal RNA", at positions 28 to 524 of the family's 1533-position model. The record is from RNAcentral.